Molecule: ribosomal RNA, 718 nt
Filed under: Cylindrospermopsis raciborskii QDH8
Lineage: Bacteria; Bacillati; Cyanobacteriota; Cyanophyceae; Nostocales; Aphanizomenonaceae
Description: bacterial SSU rRNA
Rfam family: Bacterial small subunit ribosomal RNA
Source: RNAcentral
ACGGGAUGCUUAGGCAUCUAGUGGCGGACGGGUGAGUAACGCGUGAGAAUCUGGCUCCAGGUCGGGGAUAACAGUUGGAAACGACUGCUAAUACCGGAUGUGCCGAGAGGUGAAAGAUUUAUUGCCUGGAGAUGAGCUCGCGUCUGAUUAGCUAGUUGGUGGUGUAAGGGACCACCAAGGCCUCGAUCAGUAGCUGGUCUGAGAGGAUGAUCAGCCACACUGGGACUGAGACACGGCCCAGACUCCUACGGGAGGCAGCAGUGGGGAAUUUUCCGCAAUGGGCGAAAGCCUGACGGAGCAAUACCGCGUGAGGGAGGAAGGCUCUUGGGUCGUAAACCUCUUUUCUCAAGGAAGAAGAAAGUGACGGUACUUGAGGAAUAAGCAUCGGCUAACUCCGUGCCAGCAGCCGCGGUAAUACGGAGGAUGCAAGCGUUAUCCGGAAUGAUUGGGCGUAAAGGGUCUGCAGGUGGAACUGAAAGUCUGCUGUUAAAGAGUUUGGCUUAACCAAAUAAAAGCGGUGGAAACUACAGAACUAGAGUGCGGUAGGGGCAAAAGGAAUUCCUGGUGUAGCGGUGAAAUGCGUAGAUAUCAGGAAGAACACCGGUGGCGAAAGCGUUUUGCUAGACCGUAACUGACACUGAGGGACGAAAGCUAGGGGAGCGAAUGGGAUUAGAUACCCCAGUAGUCCUAGCCGUAAACGAUGGAUACUAGGCGUGGC